UACAGAGGUCCCAAGCGUUACUGAGAAUCACUGGGUUUAAAGGGCGCGUAGGCGGACAGUUUAGUCAGAGGUGAAAGCCCAGGGCUCAACCUUGGAAUUGCCUUUGAUACUGGCUGUCUUGAGUUCGGGAGAGGUGAGUGGAAUGCCGAGUGUAGAGGUGAAAUUCGUAGAUAUUCGGCGGAACACCAGUGGCGAAGGCGACUCACUGGCCCGAUACUGACGCUGAGGCGCGAAAGCGUGGGGAGCAAACAGG
This 253-nucleotide ribosomal RNA is filed under the name uncultured bacterium. RNAcentral's name for it is "partial 16S ribosomal RNA". It matches the Rfam family "Bacterial small subunit ribosomal RNA", at positions 524 to 776 of the family's 1533-position model. The record is from RNAcentral.